GACGAACGCUGGCGGCGUGCUUAACACAUGCAAGUCGAACGGAAAGGCCUGCUUUCCCUUGUGGUUUGCGGGUGCUCGAGCGGCGAACGGGGGAGUAACACGUGAGUGAUCUGCCCCCAACUUGGGUAUAAGCCUGGGAAACUGGGUCUAAUUCCCGAUAGGACUGCAGGGUGGUGCCUGUGGUGGAAAACGAUUUUCUAGUGGUUGGGGAUGAGCUCGCGGCCUAUCAGCUUGGUGGUGGGGUAAUGGCCUACCAAGGCGACGACGGGGAGCCGGCGUGGGACGGAGAGCGUCGACGGCGGCACUGGGACUCGGUCCAGACCCCUACGCGAGCGGGAGGUAGGAAUUGUUGAUAAUGGACAGUAAGCGGGAGCCUGCUGCAGCGAGGGCGCGAGGAAGAUCUUGGGCUUGGAGAUGUAAACUACUUUCGAAGACGAGGAAGACACCUAGUUGGAAGGGUGGUGACGGUAGUGGAAGAAGAAGCACCGGCUAACUACGUG
Molecule: ribosomal RNA, 500 nt
Filed under: uncultured bacterium
Lineage: Bacteria
Description: partial 16S ribosomal RNA
Rfam family: Bacterial small subunit ribosomal RNA
Source: RNAcentral